This 397-nucleotide ribosomal RNA is filed under the name uncultured bacterium. RNAcentral describes it as "partial 16S ribosomal RNA". It matches the Rfam family "Bacterial small subunit ribosomal RNA", at positions 523 to 918 of the family's 1533-position model. The record is from RNAcentral.
AUACGUAGGGAGCGAGCGUUGUCCGGAAUUACUGGGCGUAAAGGGCGUGUAGGCGGAGAUCUAAGCAGGGUGUGAAAACUAUGGGCUCAACCCGUAGCCUGCAUUCUGAACUGGAUCCCUUGAGGGCAGGAGAGGAAAGUGGAAUUCCUAGUGUAGCGGUGAAAUGCGUGGAUAUUAGGAGGAACACCAGUGGCGAAGGCGACUUUCUGGCCUGUACCUGACGCUGAGGCGCGAAAGCGUGGGGAGAAAACAGGAUUAGAUCCCCUGGUAGUCCACGCCGUAAACGAUGAAUACUAGGUGUAGGGGGUAUCGACCCCUUCUGUGCCGUAGUUAACACAAUAAGUAUUCCGCCUGGGGAGUACGGCCGCAAGGUUGAAACUCAAAUGAAUUGACGGGG